CCUGGCUCAGGAUGAACGCUAGCGGAGGCUAACACAUGCAAGUCGAGGGCGAGCGCGGGUGGCAACACCGUGGCGGGCGACCGGCGGACGGGUGAGUAACACGUAUGCAACCUGCCCUGCACAGGGGGAUAGCCCGGAGAAAUCCGGAUUAAUACCCCAUGGUUCACUGGGUCCGCAUGGAUCUGGUGGUAAAGAUUCAUCGGUGCAGGAUGGGCAUGCGUUCCAUUAGCUAGUUGGCGGGGCAACGGCCCACCAAGGCGACGAUGGAUAUGGGGUCUAAAAGGAUGGUCCCACACAUUGGCACUGAGAUACGGGCCAAACUCCUACGGGAGGCAGCAGUGAGGAAUAUUGGUCAAUGGGCGAGAGCCUGAACCAGCCAUCCCGCGUGCAGGAUGAAGGUCCUUACAGAUUGUAAACUGCUUUUGCAGGGGACGAAUAAGGGUCACGCGUGGCCCGAUGACAGUACUCUGUGAAUAAGCAUCGGCUAACUCCGUGCCAGCAGCUGC
RNAcentral lists this ribosomal RNA (506 nucleotides) under uncultured bacterium. RNAcentral's name for it is "bacterial SSU rRNA". It matches the Rfam family "Bacterial small subunit ribosomal RNA", at positions 18 to 518 of the family's 1533-position model. The record is from RNAcentral.